RNAcentral lists this ribosomal RNA (668 nucleotides) under alpha proteobacterium IMCC14891. RNAcentral's name for it is "bacterial SSU rRNA". It matches the Rfam family "Bacterial small subunit ribosomal RNA", at positions 28 to 743 of the family's 1533-position model. The record is from RNAcentral. Lineage: Bacteria; Pseudomonadati; Pseudomonadota; Alphaproteobacteria.
AACGAACGGCUGGCGGCAGGCCUAACACAUGCAAGUCGAGCGCACCUUCGGGUGAGCGGCGGACGGGUUAGUAACGCGUGGGAACGUACCCUUUUCUACGGAAUAGCCUUUGGAAACGAAGAGUAAUACCGUAUACGCCCUUUGGGGGAAAGAUUUAUCGGAGAAGGAUCGGCCCGCGUUAGAUUAGAUAGUUGGUGGGGUAACGGCCUACCAAGUCUACGAUCUAUAGCUGGUUUUAGAGGAUGAUCAGCAACACUGGGACUGAGACACGGCCCAGACUCCUACGGGAGGCAGCAGUGGGGAAUCUUAGACAAUGGGCGCAAGCCUGAUCUAGCCAUGCCGCGUGAGUGAUGAAGGCCUUAGGGUCGUAAAGCUCUUUCGCCUGUGAUGAUAAUGACAGUAGCAGGUAAAGAAACCCCGGCUAACUCCGUGCCAGCAGCCGCGGUAAUACGGAGGGGGUUAGCGUUGUUCGGAAUUACUGGGCGUAAAGCGCACGUAGGCGGAUUGGAAAGUUGGGGGUGAAAUCCCGGGGCUCAACCCCGGAACUGCCUCCAAAACUAUCAGUCUAGAGUUCGAGAGAGGUGAGUGGAAUUCCAAGUGUAGAGGUGAAAUUCGUAGAUAUUUGGAGGAACACCAGUGGCGAAGGCGGCUCACUGGCUCGAUACUGA